RNAcentral lists this transfer RNA (72 nucleotides) under Ignavibacteria bacterium. RNAcentral describes it as "tRNA-Arg". It matches the Rfam family "tRNA". From Rfam's summary of the family: Transfer RNA (tRNA) molecules are approximately 80 nucleotides in length. Their secondary structure includes four short double-helical elements and three loops (D, anti-codon, and T loops). The record is from RNAcentral. Lineage: Bacteria; Pseudomonadati; Ignavibacteriota; Ignavibacteria.
GCCCCGUUAGGCUAAUGGAUAAACCAACAGACUACGAAUCUGUCUUUAGAAGUUCGAAUCUUCUACGGGGCA